Molecule: small nucleolar RNA, 132 nt
Organism: Nematolebias whitei (Rio pearlfish)
Lineage: Eukaryota; Metazoa; Chordata; Actinopteri; Cyprinodontiformes; Rivulidae
Product: small nucleolar RNA SNORA31
Exons: 1
Source: RefSeq, a predicted model, not a curated record
UUGCAUCCACUGAUAGACCUGGAGCAGACUCUUUAGCUUCUUGGUUUGCAUAGAGAUGCCAAAUUAGGCCUUCCUUGUGAUUUCUGACUGCUAAAUAUUGUAGCAGCACAGAAUGAACUAAGGAAUACACAC